This is a non-coding RNA of Termitomyces sp. 'cryptogamus', 91 nucleotides long. Lineage: Eukaryota; Fungi; Basidiomycota; Agaricomycetes; Agaricales; Lyophyllaceae. The record is from the annotation of a GenBank genome assembly.
UCCCUCUUAGCUCAGUGGUAGAGCGCGUCACUAGUAUGGGGACCGUACAUGCGAAAUGACGAGGUCAGUCGUUCAAGUCGGCUAGAGGGAA